This is an RNA transcript of Oncorhynchus keta (chum salmon), 6028 nucleotides long. It is a transcript of the gene named E3 ubiquitin/ISG15 ligase TRIM25-like, with no coding region annotated. Lineage: Eukaryota; Metazoa; Chordata; Actinopteri; Salmoniformes; Salmonidae. The record is from RefSeq and is a predicted model, not a curated record. The transcript is spliced from 14 exons.
UUGGUGCCUAUGGGAGUGUAAACCAAUAGGCCUAGAACUGAACAGGGGCAUAGAUCUGCUCUGGGGUAAAUGAAGAAGAAGAAGAAGAAGAAGCUGCCUUACCUCAUGACUUUGUGACAUCAUGAACCCCACUCCUGAGCCCAAGAUCGGAGGUUUGAAAGUGUAAGUAAAACACAUUAUAAUCCCGGAACUACCUGAUACAUCUGUCACGGGGGAUUCUUGCCAGUGGACCUUGGAACCCAACACAGUCAAUGAGCACCUAUAUCUGUCUGAGGGGAACCAGAUGGUUACUGGAAUUGUGUAGACUUUCUUAGUGUCCAACAAGCUUUCUCUGCCCUUAGCCUUGUUCUGAAUACCUCCAAAACAAUGGUCAUGUGGUUUGGUAAGAAGAAUGCCCCUCUCCCCACAGAGGUGUUUACUACCGCUGAGGAUUUAGAGCUUGAGGUAGUCACCUCAUACAAGUACUUGGGAGUAUGGCUAGAUGGUACACUGUCCUUCUCUCAGCACAUAUCAAAGCUGCAGGCUAAAGUUAAAUCUAGACUUGGUUUCCUCUAUCGUAGUCGUUCCUCUUUCACUCCAGCUGCCAAACUAACCCUGAUUCAGAUGACCAUCCUACCCAUGCUAGAUUACGGAGACUACAUUUAUAGAUCGACAGGUAAGGGUGCUCUCAAACGGCUAGAUGUUGUUAGCCAUUCUGAUUUGCCACCAAUGCUCCUUAUAGGACACAUCACUGCACUUUGUACUUUUCUGUAAACUGGUCAUGUCUGUAUACCCGUCGCAAGAACCACUGGUUGAUGCUUAUUUAUAAAACCCUCUUAGGCCUCAUUCACCCCUCUCUGAGAUAUCUACUGCAGCCCUCAUCCUCCACAUACAACAACCGUUCUGCCAGUCACAUUCUGUUAAAGGUCCCUAAAGCACACGCAUCCCUGGGUCACUCCUCUUUUCAGUUUGCUGCAGUUAGUGACUGGAACGAGCUGCAACAAACACUCAAACUGGACAGUUUUAUCUUAAUCUCUUCAUUCAAAGACUCAGUCAUGGAUACUUUUACUGACAGUUGUGGCUGCUUUGCGUGAUGUGUUGUUGUCUCUACAUUCUUGCCCUUUGUGCUGUUGUCUGUGCCCAAUAAUGUUUGUACCAUGUUUUGUGCUGCUACCAUGUUAUUUUUAUAUAUUUAUUAUUUUUAUCCCAGCCCCCAUCCCCACAGGAGGCCUUUUGGUAGGCCGUCAUUGUAAAUAAGAAUUUGUUCUUAACUGACUUGCCUAGUUAAAUAAAGUUUAAAUAAAUAAAUACCUUUAAAAAAAAAUAUUUUUUACAAUAAUGUCAGAAGAAGCAGCUUUAUUUCAUACAGCAAAAGUUGGCAUUUCUGGGAAAACUGGGGUGAUCUACUCACAGCCAAUGGCAGGUCAUAAUUUUAGGAAACAUUCGUCAAUUACCCACCUGUCUACAUAAAAGUGAAACAUUUUAAUUGAAAAAUAAAUUAUUAUUAAAUAGUGGCAAUAUCAUAUCAGCCUUUGUUUGACUGUGAAGUAUUUAUAGUGCUUAUGAAGACUUUUUGAAAGUUAUUUUUCUUGUGACCAAAUAGUCAUUAGUCAUGAGUGUUCUUUAGUUUUUAAGAAAUAAAGGAACUUACUGUAGGUAUGCCCUUGAGUCUGCAACAACUGCCUGAUCUUUGCGCAACACCACACCUCUUACACAAUACAGCGUUUCCUUCCCAGUCACAACCGCUUUACUUCCAGAACUCUGCUACUUGGUCAGUGUGUGUAUCAACAUGGCAGAGGCCACGGACCUGAUCAGUUGUUCGAUCUGUCUGGAUCUACUGAAGGAUCCAGUCGCUAUUCCCUGUGGACACAACUACUGUAUGGACUGUAUUAAAGGCUGCUGGGAUCAGGAUGAUCUAAAAGGUGUGUACAGCUGUCCCCAGUGCAGGCAGACCUUUACCCCAAGACCUGUUCUGAACGGAAACCCUCUACUAACUGAGUUUGUGGAGAAUCUGAAGAAGACAGGAAUCCAAGCUGUUCCUCCAGCUCUCUGUUUUGGUGGACCUGGAGAUGUUGAGUGUGACGUCUGUACUCUGAAAAAAUUAAAAGCCGUAAAGUCCUGUCUGGUGUGUUUAGCCUCUUACUGUGAGACUCACCUCCAGCAUCACUAUGAAUCUCCUGCAUUUAAAAAACACAAGCUGGUCAGAGCCUCCACACAACUACAGGAGAAGAUCUGCUCUCAUCAUGACAAGCUGCUGGAGGUUUACUGCCGUACGGAUCAGCAGUGUAUCUGUUAUCAGUGUGAGAUAGAGAAACACAAAGGCCAUGAUACCGUUUCUCCAGCAGUAGAAAGGAUUGAGAGGCUGAAACAGUUAAAUGAGAACCAGGCCAGGCAGAGAAUUCAGGAGAGAGAGGUGAAGAUACAGGAGGUGAGACAGGCUGUGAAGUCACUCAAGUGCUCUGCACAGACAGCAGUUGAGGAAAGUGAGAGGAUCUUUACUGAGCUGGUCCACUCUAUUGACAAAACGCGCUCUGAGAUGACGGAGCUGAUCAGAGCCCAGGAGAAGGCUGAAGUGAGUCGGGCUGAAGGACUCCUGAAGCAACUGGAGCAGGAUGUCGCUGAGCUGAAGAGGAGAGAGGCUGAGUUGGAGCAACUCUCACACACAGAGGAUCACAUCCAUUUCCUCCAGAGUUUCCAGUCUGUCUGUGUCCCUCCUGGAUCUGAGGCCUUACCCAGCAUCACUGUCAACCAAAUCUCAUUUGAGGAUUUAAAGAAAUCAAUAUCUGCACUUAAACAGCGACUGGAGGUUAUAUUCAAGGAGGAAAUGGCCAAGAUACCUGGGAAAGGUAGGACUUCACACACAAACAGCAAAGUGCUGGUGCCAGCGACCAUAAGUACCGAGGAAUAUGGUGUCCAGUUUGUGGAUGAGCAAAGGUCUGAGCUCAUUCAGAGGGUAACCAUGGUGAUGCCUAUAGCAGAUGAACUGCUUCAGAGAUGCAUGCUUCAUAAAGAAAUGUAUAAUACUAUCCGUAAUGCCAGGCCCAGCCAGGAACAGAUGAGACUGCUGUAUGAGGCCCUACACUCAGGAGGCUCUAAGGUGAAAGCAGCCUUUUAUGAGAUUCUACGGGAAAAACAACACUAUCUAGUCAAUCUGGCAACAAAUCUUCAUGAUGUUCCACUCCCCAAACCCAGGAUCAGAGAAGAGUUCUUGAAAUAUUCCUUACCGCUCACAUUGGAUCCUAACUCAGCUCAAGAGUGCCUGUGUCUGUCUGAGGGAAACAGGAAGGUGACAAAUAAUGGAAAGGCCCAGCCCUACCUUCACCAUUCAGACAGAUUUACCUACUUCGUCCAGGUGCUGUGUAGACAGGGUCUGUCCAGAGCCAGCUACUGGGAGGUAGAGUGGAGUGGGGAUUCUGUUAAUGUAGCCGUCUCAUAUAAAGGAAUCAUCAGGAAAGGAGACCAAUGGAAUGGCGUCGCUGCAUUUGGAAGGAAUGAUCUGUCGCUGAGUUUAUACUGCUCAACCUCUAGCUGUACUUUCAUGCACAAUUGCUCUACAACUGUUAUCACUGUCCCCUGCUCCUCCAGAGUUGGCGUGUACCUGGACCACACGGCAGGAACUCUGUCCUUCUACAACGUUUCUGACACAAUGACUCUCCUCCACAGAGUCCAGACCACAUUCACUGAACCUCUUUAUCCUGGGUUUACAGUUGGUCAUGGAUCAUCUGUGAAGAUACUGACAAAAUGAUAGAAGUAAAGCAGCUUUCAUAUUAAACUCAGUAUGGGUUUAAUCCAUAACAUUGUUAUUUCUCUUUUUUUUAUAAUCUUGAGAAGUUCAGAAAGAUAUGCUGAAUGUCUCUGCUGAUGGAGUGCUGCUGUUUUCCCCAGCUCUGACAUAACAGAUUGUUUAUGUCCUGACUGCAAAUCUGAUGAACCAGGGUUUGUUGUAUAAACACAUGCAAGCUGGCCUCUAUGUGGGUUGAGGAAAAUAGUAAGCCAUGAGAAACUCAAACAAGGCCUAGUUCCAGUUUGGCAGUUAGCUCCUACCCCUUCAGUGUGCACAAGUUUGACAGGACUGGAAGGAUGUAAGCAAUAUGGAGGCUGCUUCACUUGGCCUAUUAUAAAAGCACAUGGAGUCAUCACCUAUCCCAUUCUUUUAGAUCUGCAACACCAACAUGUAGGGAAAGGGGACCACAAUGGAAUCAGGCUUAUACAUACAGUAGGUUACAGGAUUCUGUCAACGCAAAAUCAAAUAAAAUGUUAUUUGUCACAUCUGCUGAAUACAAUUUGUAGACCUUACUGUGAAAUUCUUACUUACAAGCCCUCAACCAAAAAUGCAGUUUUAAGAAAUAAGAGUAACAAAUAAUUAAGAGCAGCAGUAAAAUAACAAUAGUACAGGUGGCACCGGUUAAUCGAGAUAGUUGAGGUUAUAUAUACAUGAAGGUAGUUAUUAAAGUGACUUAUGCAUCGAUAAGAGACUUCCUUAGAUAAAAAGGGACCAUUCAAACAGCCAACAUAGUUUAGAAAAAGGGGAAGAGAAACACUUUUUUUGUCAACUAAGUAGUUACAACAUUACAGAAAAGCAGAAGUGAAGAAUUUGGACAAAGAAUGAGAGAAGCUAGCAUUCUAGUUUUUACACCCCAUUGGGGCAAGGGAACUUACAGUUGGAACUAUUUAACACCACAGUUUAAUUUUUACUAGUCCAACGCUCUAACCACUAGGCUACGCUGCCGCCCCAUCUUUGUGAUAUGACUUUCUUUAAGCACGUACUGAUGAAACUGUCACGUAAUAUUUUUUCUUAGUCUACAGACGCUCUACAUUUAUUCACUCUGUAAUAGGGUUGGAUCCUAUAUGCUACUUUUAUUAGUGUCCUGUAAAUGGUUCAGCGCUUAUAAUUUAGGCUGUGUGGAAUGGGGCAUGAAGGAAAUUACCUCUACUUAUAAAUUCCUACUAGGUUAUAGUGAUAAGGAAAACAGCAUACACAUUUAGCUUGUGCAUUCAUUUGCCUAUAACUACUCAUAUUUUAAUUAUUUUUUACAUAAAAAAGAGAAUACUUCAAAAUGAGAAGAUCCUGCCAUGGAAAAGAUGACUGCGUGGACAUAAAGUGGAAAGGAGGGGAAAUAACUCACACCAUGCAGCAGGACACCUUCAGCUGUGGGGUCUUUGUAAUGCAGAUGGCCAAGGAAGUUGCUUCCCCAACAUCCCCUCCCAAAUUGAUAUGGAACCUUCAAAAACGCAUGGCGAAACUGCAAAAGGAAAUGGUUGAGGAUGUACUACAAAUGUCUGACUUCAACAAAGCCAACAACUGCUUCAUGUGUGCCACUGAUAAAGAACCAGGAUGUGGCUCAAAUACUGACUGGGAAUGAAGACAAAACAGUUCAACAGAGUAAAGAACACAAACUGGAAGGGCAGUCUUUGUUGUUGAAAACGUAUGCUAUACCCCAUCCACACUGAAGAGGCUCUGACAUGUACAUCAACCAGGGUUAAUGUAUGCUGUACCCCAUCCACCCUGAAGAGGCUCUGACAUGUACAUCAACCAGGGUUAAUGUAUGCUAUACCCCAUCCACACUGAAGAGGCUCUGACAUGUACAUCAACCAGGGUUAAUGUAUGCUAUACCCCAUCCACCCUGAAGAGGCUCUGACAUGUACAUCAACCAGGGUUAAUGUAUGCUAUACCCCAUCCACACUGAAGAGGCUCUGACAUGUACAUCAACCAGGGUUAAUGUAUGCUAUACCCCAUCCACACUGAAGAGGCUCUGACAUGUACAUCAACCAGGGUUAAUGUAUGCUAUACCCCAUCCACACUGAAGAGGCUCUGACAUGUACAUCAACCAGGGUUAAUGUAUGCUGUACCCCAUCCACACUGAAGAGGCUCUGACAUGUACAUCAACCAGGGUUAAUGUAUGCUGUACCCCAUCCACCCUGAAGAGGCUCUGACAUGUACAUCAACCAGGGAUCAAGAGAAAGUUAACACUGUAUAAUGUUUCAUACUUAAUUGAAGAUAAGUGUCUGACAUGUUGGAAAAGAUUAAAGGUCUACAAUUUCUGUUUAA